This 496-nucleotide ribosomal RNA is filed under the name uncultured bacterium. RNAcentral describes it as "partial 16S ribosomal RNA". It matches the Rfam family "Bacterial small subunit ribosomal RNA", at positions 28 to 506 of the family's 1533-position model. The record is from RNAcentral.
GAUGAACGCUGGCGGCGUGCCUAAUACAUCCAAGUCGAGCGAACGGACGAGAAGCUUGCUUCUCUGAUGUUAGCGGCGGACGGGUGAGUAACACGUGGAUAACCUACCUAUAAGACUGGGAUAACUUCGGGAAACCGGAGCUAAUACCGGAUAAUAUUUUGAACCGCAUGGUUCAAAAGUGAAAGACGGUCUUGCUGUCACUUAUAGAUGGAUCCGCGCUGCAUUAGCUAGUUGGUAAGGUAACGGCUUACCAAGGCAACGAUGCAUAGCCGACCUGAGAGGGGGAUCGGCCACACUGGAACUGAGACACGGGCCGGACUCCUACGGGAGGCAGCAGUAGGGAAUCUGCCGCAAUGGGCGAAAGCCUGACGGAGCAACGCCGCGUGAGUGAUGAAGGUCUUCGGAUCGUAAAACUCUGUUAUUAGGGAAGAACAUAUGUGUAAGUAACUGUGCACAUCUGGACGGUACCUAAUCAGAAAGCCACGGCUAACUACGU